AUGAAUUGGGUAAGGAACAGUUAAUAAGAAAAUGUGCCUUGCUAACUGUGCACAUUACAACAAAGAGCUGGCAGCUCCUGAAGGAAAAGGGCUUGUGCCGCUGCCGUUCAAACUUGUCAGUCAACUCAUGCCAGCAGCCUCAGCGUCUGCCUCCCCAGCACACCCUCAUUACAUGUGUCUGUCUGGCCUGAUCUGUGCAUCUGCUCGGAGACGCUCCUGACAAGUCGGGAAUUUCUCUAUUUCUCCACUGGUGCAAAGAGCGGAUUUCUCCCUGCUUCUCUUCUGUCACCCCCGCUCCUCUCCCCCAGGAGGCUCCUUGAUUUAUGGUAGCUUUGGACUUGCUUCCCCGUCUGACUGUCCUUGACUUCUAGAAUGGAAGAAGCUGAGCUGGUGAAGGGAAGACUCCAGGCCAUCACAGAUAAAAGAAAAAUACAGGAAGAAAUCUCACAGAAGCGUCUGAAAAUAGAGGAAGACAAACUAAAGCACCAGCAUUUGAAGAAAAAGGCCUUGAGGGAGAAAUGGCUUCUAGAUGGAAUCAGCAGCGGAAAAGAACAGGAAGAGAUGAAGAAGCAAAAUCAACAAGACCAGCACCAGAUCCAGGUUCUAGAACAAAGUAUCCUCAGGCUUGAGAAAGAGAUCCAAGAUCUUGAAAAAGCUGAACUGCAAAUCUCAACGAAGGAAGAGGCCAUUUUAAAGAAACUAAAGUCAAUUGAGCGGACAACAGAAGACAUUAUAAGAUCUGUGAAAGUGGAAAGAGAAGAAAGAGCAGAAGAGUCAAUUGAGGACAUCUAUGCUAAUAUCCCUGACCUUCCAAAGUCCUACAUACCUUCUAGGUUAAGGAAGGAGAUAAAUG
RNAcentral lists this long non-coding RNA (853 nucleotides) under Homo sapiens (human). RNAcentral describes it as "long non-coding RNA NONHSAT149448.1". The record is from RNAcentral. Lineage: Eukaryota; Metazoa; Chordata; Mammalia; Primates; Hominidae.